GCCCUUAUCGUCUAGAGGCCUAGGACGCUUCCUUUUCACGGAAGAAACAGGGAUUCGAAUUCCCUUAAGGGUA
This 73-nucleotide transfer RNA is filed under the name Gloeotilopsis planctonica. RNAcentral's name for it is "tRNA-Glu". It matches the Rfam family "tRNA". From Rfam's summary of the family: Transfer RNA (tRNA) molecules are approximately 80 nucleotides in length. Lineage: Eukaryota; Viridiplantae; Chlorophyta; Ulvophyceae; Ulotrichales; Ulotrichaceae. The record is from RNAcentral. RNAcentral also lists the same sequence under 1 other name.